AUGCCCCAUCCGGCGCUUAUCUCCGGCACUCGUAAUGGCUUAGCUCUUGAAGGGGCGUAAGAAUCAU
RNAcentral lists this small RNA (67 nucleotides) under Pantoea allii. RNAcentral describes it as "rydB RNA". Lineage: Bacteria; Pseudomonadati; Pseudomonadota; Gammaproteobacteria; Enterobacterales; Erwiniaceae. The record is from RNAcentral.